AGUGAACGCCAGCCAUGCAGCCAGGAUUCAAGUGAGGCCCGUGCUCUGGGGUGUGUCAUGGUGAGAGGAGGCAUGCUGUGAUGUCUAGGGACACCUAACUGCUCCCGGGACCUCCAGGCACCCUGACACCCAGUACUCGUCCAAAGGUGCGACUCUCCGAGAACCAGAGGUCAGAGCUGAAGCGCCCGGAAACACCUUGAAGACCCGCAGAAACAGCGCCCCAGCAGGACUGAGGCAGACUUCAGGCGCAGUGAAGAGAUCGGGCGGGACCCACCUGGAUUUCCAAGCCUGUCUGUUGCUGGAGGCCCUUAAGGACGGAUACAAAACAACUUUCACUGAGAACUUACUCAAGCCCCCGGGAACCGCCUUGCGAAGUCUCCUUUUGCCUUAAUUCUAAGUGAAGCUGUAGACAAGUUGGAUUCAAAGCAACAGGGAACCGUCAACUGCAGCAAGUCCGGCCCAAGAAAGGAGCGGCCGUCACUUACUCAGACCUUUAAGCUCUAUCGGAAACGGGAACCAGAGAUAAACUUAUCUUCUCAGGGUCCAUUGCAAAGUCCUCUUGGGACAUGCACGCUCUCACCUAGAAACGUGUCCCCCAGGGCUGGUGACUCCUCUCUCUUAGGGCUGUCCUUCAGUCCUUCCUAACAAAGGUGCUCCCGGGGGCUGGCUGGGCGUACUUCCUUCCUCUCUCCCUGCCUGUUCCCAACACCAAUGGAUCUCAAACCCCGACUAACCAGGCACCCACCUGGGACAUUUGCAAAUGGUAAUUUCCUGGUCUUCAGGGGCAGGGGUGGGGAAAAGCCUUCAGGUGAUCCUGUGACCAGCUGCUGGGCCUGGGACCCGGCCACACCCUCCCAGGGGCCCAGUUCCCACUCACUGAGCACCAGCGGUGGGCGACCCGUGAACGCAUGCCCCAUCGACCCCAGAGUCUCAUCCUCCACUUCACCUUUCCCUUCCAACAUCCUUCUCCAGUGCCCUCCUCAGCCUCCCAGAACCUCCAACUCAACAGGUCCACAUGUCACACGAUUCUCUUCCCCAAAAGCCUGCUGGCCCUUCGUUAUCCCUUAUUUUGUUAGUGUCACCAUCUGCCAGCAACAAAGCCAGAUGCAGUGGGACAUCCCUCAGUCUCCGUCAAGCCACCCGUUCAAACGUUCACCGAAUGGGGCGACAAAGAUGCCCCCAGCGCCCCACAGCCAUUCUCGAGGCCCUUUCUCUGGGCAGGCCCUUUGCUGGGUUCUCAUUCAGGCUGUAUACAUCCCCUGUGAGGAGGCAGGCUCAGACUAUGCGCAGAGGCCGGGCCGCCCUCACUGGAGUGAAGCCAGGCUCUGCUCGGCACGUCUCACCUCACCCGCCAACAACCCUGAGGCCAAGGCCGCUACCCCCAUUUUCCAGGUAUGAAAGCUGGCGCUUAGAAGAGCUACAGAACUUGCCAAAGUCACAGAACUGGUGAGGGGUGGCCUGGGGCUCAGGGACCAGCAGAUAUCACUGCCCAGUAAGUGCAGACGGCGAGAUGCAAGCCUGCGCCUGAGCCAGUCUUCUGGGUGCUUCUACUGGCACGGCACUGAGGGGGCCUGCCCAUCACCCCACCACAGCCAUCCCACCCAGAGGGGUCCCACUGUCUUAGACCCCGACCACCCACCUACAAUUUCCCCUGCCCACUUCCAUCAUCCUCUGCCCCGAAGCUGCGGCCAAGGCCCCGUCUCCUACCUGCAGUGCUGCCAGAAUCACCUUCUAGAACAAGCUGACCAUGUGACACUCCACAUGCUCAGCACAGUGAGGCUUCCCUAUCGCAGGCCCAUGACCCCUGGGCAUUCACAUACUCUGUUCCCAGGGCCCACUGGCCCCCUCCUCAGCCCCGACCCAGUCAGAAGUCAGCAGGAGUCAACGCGCCACAGGACGGAGACAUGGGGCCCCUAAGCCAGCCAGGCCAGUUCCUCCCUUUAGAGACGAGGAAACUGACACCCAGGCCAGGGCUGGAGCUGAUGACCAGACUCCUUUUCUGUGCACUGCUCAAGCCGUGACUUUGAGGAAAGUUGGGGAAAGAUUAAAAGGUGGGGUUUCACAUUCUCAGUCAGCAGCCCCGCUGGCCAUGUCCUCUGCUCUGGUUCCCCAGUGGGCAGCGGCGGUGGCCCCGCUGCUAUGGCUGGCUCGGGGGGCACCUCUCAAAGGGCACGCUCGCACCCCUCAGGUUUCAUGAGGGUUUAGUAAGCAGGAAGCCACUGCAGAGGGAAACAAGCUGAGAGUGUCUAAGCCCUUUAUUUUUGAGCCUCUCCACAAGCCUCGACUUCACGAACUGCCUUCAGCCAGGGAGGUGGCCAGGAGGAAACGCAGGGUGCCUGCUCCACUUGCAAAACGUGCAGUUUAGAUGACAAACUGCAGUCUCCCAGGGGGCAGCUCUGGCGGAAGGUAAGUUAGAAAGUGCAGGAAUUCAGUCAGGAAGAAGAGGGCCCAGAGGAAAGAGUGGUCUCAGGUUUUCAAACUUUGAGGGGAAAAAAGUGGAGAAAAAAUUAGAAGACUAACUUGAUGAUACUCUAAGCGGCUGGAGUGAAAAGGGCAGGCCCACAACCCCAGCACCACACUUGGGGACUGGGAGGUGGGGGCGCAUGCCCAUGGGCCACCAGCAGAGGAGGAGGUGACGAAGCUGGGGGUGAGAUGUAAGGUCCAGAGGAAUGGCGGAACCAAGGAGGAGAGGAGGUGACUGCAGAGAGAGCCGUCCCCAACCCAAAACUUGGCAAGAAAAGGGUCCACCUUAUGUGAGCGACGAGAAGAGAGAAAGUGCACAAGAGUCGAAGGCGUCACCCAUAUAUUCUAUACGUCACGAAAUGUCCCUCUGCCGGAAGAACACCAGGUAAACACAGGAUUGCACCGCAACGCAAAGUCUGAGCCGUGCAAAGACGCCGCUCAAGAGGACAUGUCAGAAUCAGAACCAGUAGCAACUGGGUCUCCAGCCAGACUUCCUCAAUAAAACGGAGGGACCCUGAACAAGGGGGUUCCUUUUAAAACCGAUUAAAUAAAGAAAACGGAGCAGGGGUGGGGAGGGAGAUACGCAUACCCUGAAAAAGGAGAUUUUAAAGACUCAAAUGUCUUCGUGAGUCAACAGCAAGGCGAAAGGGGGAGCCAGCUUUUGAUUAAAGCGCCUCAAAAG
Long non-coding RNA from Equus asinus (donkey), 3145 nucleotides. The record is from Ensembl. NCBI's taxonomy places the organism in Eukaryota, Metazoa, Chordata, Mammalia, Perissodactyla, Equidae.